Molecule: transfer RNA, 71 nt
Filed under: Scleroderma citrinum Foug A
Lineage: Eukaryota; Fungi; Basidiomycota; Agaricomycetes; Boletales; Sclerodermataceae
Rfam family: tRNA
About the family: Transfer RNA (tRNA) molecules are approximately 80 nucleotides in length. Their secondary structure includes four short double-helical elements and three loops (D, anti-codon, and T loops). Further hydrogen bonds mediate the characteristic L-shaped molecular structure. tRNAs have two regions of fundamental functional importance: the anti-codon, which is responsible for specific mRNA codon recognition, and the 3' end, to which the tRNAs corresponding amino acid is attached (by aminoacyl-tRNA synthetases). tRNAs cope with the degeneracy of the genetic code in two manners: having more than one tRNA (with a specific anti-codon) for a particular amino acid; and 'wobble' base-pairing, i.e. permitting non-standard base-pairing at the 3rd anti-codon position.
Source: Rfam by way of RNAcentral
AUUCUCUUAGUUCAAUGGUAGAACUGCACUCUUCUAAAGUGCUAAUUUUGGUUCGAAUCCAAAAGAGAAUA